UGAAUACCUUGGGUACUAUUCUUCACUCUUGAGUUCAAGAUGUUUGGUGAAGAUUCACAGCAAGAGACUUGCCAGAUCUGACCAAUAAUGUCCAGUCAAUCAUUACACUUUAUAAGCAUACUUGUACAUCCAUACAGAUAUGAGUGAAGGACAGUGAUCACGAGUGAGUUCUCGUGAGACUCCCAGUCGACACAGAAUGACCCGAGAGUCUCCCACAUGGCCCACUGCAAGCUCCACCCCACCCCGCAGCAGGGAGACAGCUGCUGUUGUGCCUGCCCUCUCUCCUGCAACACAUGGACUUAUGGUGUAUGGUGUAUAAGACUGUACUCUGUAAAACUGUAAUAAAAUAGUGUUAUAGUAGUUAUUCUACUCCAAUGACA
Long non-coding RNA from Portunus trituberculatus (swimming crab), 380 nucleotides. RefSeq lists it as uncharacterized. NCBI's taxonomy places the organism in Eukaryota, Metazoa, Arthropoda, Malacostraca, Decapoda, Portunidae. The transcript is spliced from 2 exons. The record is from RefSeq and is a predicted model, not a curated record.